This 164-nucleotide ribosomal RNA is filed under the name Cynara baetica. RNAcentral's name for it is "5.8S ribosomal RNA". It matches the Rfam family "5.8S ribosomal RNA". Rfam says of the family: 5.8S ribosomal RNA (5.8S rRNA) is a component of the large subunit of the eukaryotic ribosome. The record is from RNAcentral. Lineage: Eukaryota; Viridiplantae; Streptophyta; Magnoliopsida; Asterales; Asteraceae.
UAAACGACUCUCGGCAACGGAUAUCUCGGCUCACGCAUCGAUGAAGAACGUAGCAAAAUGCGAUACUUGGUGUGAAUUGCAGAAUCCCGUGAACCAUCGAGUUUUUGAACGCAAGUUGCGCCWGAAGCCAUUCGGCUGAGGGCACGUCUGCCUGGGCGUCACGC